GAUGAGAACGCAGCGAAAUGCGAUACGUAAUGUGAAUUGCAGAAUUCAGUGAAUCAUCGAAUCUUUGAACGCAUAUUGCGCUCUUUGGUAUUCCGAAGAGCAUGCUUGUUUGAGUAUCAGUAAACACCUCAAAGACUUCAAUUUGUUUUGAAUGGCUUUGGACUUGAGCAAUCCCAACACCAGUCUUUACGAUCGGUGGAGGGUUGCUUGAAAUGCAGGUGCAGCUGGACAUUCUCCUGAGCUAAAAGCAUAUUUAUUUAGUCCCGUCAAACGGAUUAUUACUUUUGCUGCAGCUAACAUAAAGGGAGUUUGACCGUAUUGGCUGACUGAUGCAGGAUUUCACAAGGGUCGGCAACGAUUCUUGUAAAACUCGAUCUCAAAUCAAGUAAGACUACCCGCUGAACUUAAGCAUAUCAAUAAGCGGAGGA
RNAcentral lists this unclassified non-coding RNA (428 nucleotides) under soil metagenome. RNAcentral describes it as "partial contains 5.8S ribosomal RNA, internal transcribed spacer 2, and large subunit ribosomal RNA". The stretch from base 5 to 119 matches the Rfam family "5.8S ribosomal RNA", at positions 40 to 154 of the family's 154-position model. The record is from RNAcentral.